This 379-nucleotide unclassified non-coding RNA is filed under the name uncultured Myxococcales bacterium. Its description in RNAcentral is "contains 16S-23S intergenic spacer region". The record is from RNAcentral. Lineage: Bacteria; Pseudomonadati; Myxococcota; Myxococcia; Myxococcales.
UCCGGUUUGUCACCGGCAGUCACCUUAGAGUGCCCAACUAAAUGCUGGCAACUAAGAUCAAGGGUUGCGCUCGUUGCGGGACUUAACCCAACAUCCCACGACACGAGCUGACGACAGCCAUGCAGCACCUAACCGCCGGUUCCCCGAAGGGCACCCCGAUCUUUCAACCAGGCUCCGACGUUUUCUAGCCCAGGUAAGGUUCUGCGCGUUGCGUCGAAUUGAACCACAUGCUCCACCGCUUGUGCGGGCCCCCGUCAAUUCCUUUGAGUUUUAGCCUUGCGGCCGUACUCCCCAGGCGGGGUGCUUAAGGCGUUAGCUACGGCACCGCAGGGGUCAAAGCCCGCGACACCUAGCACCCAUCGUUUACGGCGUGGACUAC